RNAcentral lists this long non-coding RNA (775 nucleotides) under Homo sapiens (human). RNAcentral describes it as "novel transcript (ENSG00000278208.1)". Lineage: Eukaryota; Metazoa; Chordata; Mammalia; Primates; Hominidae. The record is from RNAcentral.
GCUCCAUUUCUGGCCUUUGGUCUCUUUCUCGGAAAGCAGGCCUCAGUGGCCUCAGUUUCUUCCCAGAACCUGCAAUGCCCCACCAAGGUGACAAGAAGUGCAAGGAGUCGGUUUUCACUGCCAACCAAAGAGGUGACCCCCGCAAAGCAACCAUGUUGGGACAGUCCAUUUGCUGCGUUUUGAUUAUUUGCUAAGAGCAAAUACCUUUUCUGUUUGGGUUUUGCUUUUAGAAAAAAAAUGUGGCAGAUGGUGGUGGCUUUCCCCGUCAUUGAAAGAAGAAAGGUAGUAACUCUACUGGUGCACUCCUCUGAGUUGUGCUAACAAAGAAGAAUGCUGAAAGAAAAGGGAAAUGAACACCAUUUUCAGGCAGCUUCUCCAAGUUUUUUUGACAGUGUUAUAAUUUUCCUUUAGCGACUGUUGAAGCAAAUAUCUGUAUUUAUGUUCAGAUUAAACCGAGAGAGCAAAGACUGCUAAAGCCAGUAAUUUCUGGGCUGCAAAUGCAGGAUAGCUCCAGUGAAUUUCAGAUUCUUAAAGGUUUUUGCUGUAGCGAAUUCAUGACACAAAGCAUUUGGAGGGAAACCUAUUAGAGAAGAAACACAUCCUAAAUGAGAAUUACUGAGGACGGGAGGCUCUUGUCAUUUAUUGGAUUAGUUAUAGCACUUUACACAAGCCUGUAAUAUUUGUUCUGCUGCUGUGGUGUGACUGGUAAAAUGAAAAGGUAUGUCAAGGGAGUGCUUGACUGACGUUCUUAUUUCUUCCGUCUUCUUAUAUUGCU